This 253-nucleotide ribosomal RNA is filed under the name uncultured bacterium. Its description in RNAcentral is "partial 16S ribosomal RNA". It matches the Rfam family "Bacterial small subunit ribosomal RNA", at positions 524 to 776 of the family's 1533-position model. The record is from RNAcentral.
GACAGAGGGGGCAAGCGUUGCUCGGAAUUACUGGGCGUAAAGGGCGCGUAGGCGGGAUGGCAAGUCGGUCGUGAAAUCCCUCGGCUCAACUGAGGAUCGUCGAUCGAUACUGCCGUUCUUGAGGAUUGCAGAGGAGACUGGAAUUCCCGGUGUAGCGGUGAAAUGUGUAGAGAUCGGGAGGAACACCGGUGGCGAAGGCGGGUCUCUGGGCAAUUCCUGACGCUGAGGAGCGAAAGCGUGGGGAGCAAACAGG